Molecule: ribosomal RNA, 254 nt
Filed under: uncultured bacterium
Lineage: Bacteria
Description: partial 16S ribosomal RNA
Rfam family: Bacterial small subunit ribosomal RNA
Source: RNAcentral
UACGUAGGGUGCAAGCGUUGUCCGGAAUUAUUGGGCGUAAAGAGCUUGUAGGCGGUUUGUCGCGUCUGCUGUGAAAUUUCGGGGCUCAACCCCGAACUUGCAGUGGGUACGGGCAGACUAGAGUGUGGUAGGGGAGAUCGGAAUUCCUGGGUGUAGCGGUGAAAUGCGCAGAUAUCAGGAAGAACACCCGUGGCUAAGGCGGCUCUCUAGUACGGUACUGACGCUGAGACGCGAAAGCGUGGGGAGCGAACAGG